Molecule: microRNA, 20 nt
Filed under: Gadus morhua (Atlantic cod)
Lineage: Eukaryota; Metazoa; Chordata; Actinopteri; Gadiformes; Gadidae
Description: gmo-miR-11224a-5p
Source: miRBase by way of RNAcentral
ACAAUUCAGCUGCAGAUAUC